RNAcentral lists this long non-coding RNA (2006 nucleotides) under Triticum aestivum (bread wheat). Its description in RNAcentral is "long non-coding RNA (TAES_LNC011525)". The record is from RNAcentral. Lineage: Eukaryota; Viridiplantae; Streptophyta; Magnoliopsida; Poales; Poaceae.
AAAUAUUAAAUCAUGACCAAAGAAGGAUAACAUAUUAAUUACUUCUCACAAGUAAAGGAAACAUUUACGGUUCAACGACCGAAUCACCCAACAGGUUUAUAAAAUGAUAGAUGCAUCUCCAAUAUUCAUUGUUUGCUCCAUUACACAAAAUACCCAGGUGACAAGAUGACAUAUAGGUUUACAAAAUGAGACCUAAAAGACGCAUUGUUUUUGCUCUGUUACAGAAAAUCUCUAGCUGAUGCAAACUGACAUCUUCCUGGUUCCUUCCCGCUCCUUUUGUAUGUCUUUUCUACAAAGGGUAAAAAUGUAAUGGUGAGCAUGCAUUGAGAGACAAUGGCAAAAACAAUAAUUGUAUAAAGCAUCUAUGGCAAUUGGCAAUAAAAAACUAUGGGAUUUUAGUGUUACAAAAAUAGCUCAAUUUCAAAACAAUGCCACAACAUGUGUUAAUUAGAUCUUUGCUGUGUUGGACAUCAUAAAGCCUCGAUGCAACGUGACCAUGAAGUACAUUUCAGGAAAUAUGAGCAAUAUAGAGGUGUACUCGGAGCAACACCUGGUACUAUUUUGCAAUAUAAAGCAGCACCAGGGACGAGCUGGAGCGCGAAACGGUGAACUUUUCGCGCCCCAACGGCCAUCCGGCCAUCUAGCGCUUGGCGCCAAGCCAGUAACCAAUUAUGCAUAGCAAGUAUGUGAUCUACUAACUCCUAAUCUAUCUGUUUGUUAGCCACUAACUCCUAAUCUAUCUACCAUUUCAGUUAUUCACAUAAUUUCUGAAUCAAACAGCCAGACUAAAAGCACUCCAUCAACUAAUCAUAUACUAAAAGAAAAAUAAAUAGUGGACACUCCACACACACCUUGUGCACUAAGGUGGUGUUUGGUUCAGGAAAAUAUGAUGCUAGGUACAAUCAAAUACCACAAGCUGGUCACUAAGUACCAAUGAUUCUGCUACUCUUCUUCCUCUGCUCAAUGGUACCAACAAUGGUUCUCUGUGCAACCUGCAACAAAAACAAAAGAGAGAUGAAGUCAGGUCGCAUGUACAGAGAGACGAAAAUCCACACUGCGUGAGGUCUCCCCAAGUUCAGAUGCUAAACUUCCUUAAGAGGAAAUACAAGAAUCUAGCCCCGAUGCUUAUCUCACCAAGUCAGAGAAACCACUUCCUAUGAAAGGUAAAAACUUGUUCAGUAUACAGAAUUUUGUUUUAGCCCAUGAUGUUGAAUAUAAAAUCUCUUACGAGAUCAUGCUGAACAACACUAAGGACAAUGUAGAAACUUGCUAGACUUAAUGAGUGAUCCCUGCUCAUUGAACCUGUAACAAUUCAGGCAUAGACCAUGUAAAAUGCAUCUGUUCCUUCUUUUUUAAUGUCAGGACAAACGUGUGUACUUACACAACUAACGGUAAUGAAACACUGUUCUCAAAUCAUAUGUACAGAUCCAGUUCGGCCUCCACAUGAAGCUCCAGAGUUAGUAUCAUCAUUUCCUUAGAAGAACCUCAGAGUUGUCCCUGCCACAUGCGUUCUACGGAAGAUCCCCACUGCCGGAGCUCCAACAUGCCUCUAGGAGAGAGAGAGAGAGAGAGAGAGAGAGAGAGAGAGGAGUUGUACCUCAUAUGCACGCUGCCCGGUUACAAGUUGAAGCAGCCACUCGGACGGACGAGCGCGGGGCGCCGAUGGAUGUGCAGGACGGAACUGCGCGGGGCGCCGAUGGACGGGCAGGAUGGUGCGGGGCGGAGAUGGAUGGGCACGACGGAGCGGCGCAGGGCGGCCAGGGAGGCACGGGACGGCGCGGGGCAGCGCAGGGCAGUUAGGACGGCGCGGGGCGGCGCGGCAGAGGCAUGACGGCGCGUGGUGGCGCAACAGAGGCAGGACGGCACGGGGCUGGCAGGACGGCGCAGGGCGGGCAGGACGGCGUAGCGGAGGUCGUGGGAGGCGUGGGGCGGCGGUGGAAUGGCGGAGGACGGCGCAGGGCGGGCAGGAUCUAGGGAUUUGGCGGCGUGGCUGGGGGAUUUGGCCC